AUUGAACGCUGGCGGCAUGCUUUACACAUGCAAGUCGAACGGUAACAGGCCGCAAGGUGCUGACGAGUGGCGAACGGGUGAGUAAUGCGUCGGAACGUGCCCAGUCGUGGGGGAUAACUACUCGAAAGAGUAGCUAAUACCGCGUACGAUCUAUGGAUGAAAGCGGGGGACCGUAAGGCCUCGCGCGAUUGGAGCGGCCGAUGUCAGAUUAGGUAGUUGGUGGGGUAAAGGCUCACCAAGCCAACGAUCUGUAGCUGGUCUGAGAGGACAACCAGCCACACUGGGACUGAGACACGGCCCAGACUCCUACGGGAGGCAGCAGUGGGGAAUUUUGGACAAUGGGCGCAAGCCUGAUCCAGCAAUGCCGCGUGCAGGAAGAAGGCCUUCGGGUUGUAAACUGCUUUUGUACGGAACGAAACGGCUCUGGUUAAUACCCGGGGCUAAUGACGGUACCGUAAGAAUAAGCACCGGCUAACUACGUG
Molecule: ribosomal RNA, 482 nt
Filed under: uncultured bacterium
Lineage: Bacteria
Description: partial 16S ribosomal RNA
Rfam family: Bacterial small subunit ribosomal RNA
Source: RNAcentral